CGAGCCAUCAGAUAAGAAGUACGAUCUAAAUUUUCAAUUGUCCAUUAAUGGCAGGUUCAAAUUCUUGUCGUAGGUUAUUCAGUUUUGCAAGGUCAAAGUUCCUUUAAACAACAUGGAGUUACUGGUCUGAUGUAUAUAAUUUUGGAGUUAUACUGUGGGAGCCUGCCACGCAAAAGAUCCCUUGGGAUACCUCUUCAACUCAACCUUAUGUUUCUUUAUGAUCAAUUCUCAAUCUUUACCGAGUAAAUUUGAAGCUUACACAUGAAUUUGUUUCCGUCAGUAGUCUGUUAAAACAAUGAGGAUAUGGUUUGAAUGGUGGUUAAAGAUAUAGUUAUCUGAAUUAUCAGUAAAAAAAAAACUCGCAUCAACAUUAACCAACGUCACAACUUUUUCCGCAUUAUAUAUCUGCCGGAAAUAAGUGCCAUGUUGUCUAAUAAAUUAACAGGAUGUUUAUCGUUUUAGUGAUGGGUUAUGCAAGUGAUGCGAGCUGUAGGAUUCAUGAACCAAUAACUUGAGAUUCCAGAAGAUACGGAGCCGCAGUAGGCAUCUCAAACUGAAAGCUGUUGGCAGAGUGAGUCGCUAUGCCGAUCAACAUCCAAAGGAAAGUUGAAAGUUCUAUGGAAACUCUAUGCCAUCUGAAGGCCCAAUGCAAAUACCUGCUUAACUGAGGGUUGUAGAUAAUAACACAAUAUCAUCAGCGCAAAUUCAAAUGUCAACACAUGCACUAAAAGAAGAAGAUAAAAGAUUAGCAGCUGAAGUUAAGGUGGAUGGAUUCAUCAUUCAUAUCAUCUGCUGGUGCUUGGUGGUGAAGUUCUACGAAAGAGGAUUCAAGAACUUGAAGCUGGGCAAGCCAGGCUUAAACAAGAACUGUGUAAAUUAACCCUUGAUGAAGCAAGGCCUGAU
Long non-coding RNA from Papaver somniferum (opium poppy), 903 nucleotides. RefSeq lists it as uncharacterized. The transcript is spliced from 3 exons. Lineage: Eukaryota; Viridiplantae; Streptophyta; Magnoliopsida; Ranunculales; Papaveraceae. The record is from RefSeq and is a predicted model, not a curated record.